This 72-nucleotide transfer RNA is filed under the name Camelus bactrianus (Bactrian camel). It matches the Rfam family "tRNA". From Rfam's summary of the family: Transfer RNA (tRNA) molecules are approximately 80 nucleotides in length. Their secondary structure includes four short double-helical elements and three loops (D, anti-codon, and T loops). Lineage: Eukaryota; Metazoa; Chordata; Mammalia; Artiodactyla; Camelidae. The record is from Rfam by way of RNAcentral. RNAcentral also lists the same sequence under 2 other names.
GAGGGUAUAGCUCAGUGGUAGAGUGUAUGCUUAGCAUGCACGAGGUCCUUGGUUCAAUCCCCAAUACCUCCA